Molecule: transfer RNA, 82 nt
Filed under: Apaloderma vittatum (bar-tailed trogon)
Lineage: Eukaryota; Metazoa; Chordata; Aves; Trogoniformes; Trogonidae
Rfam family: tRNA
About the family: Transfer RNA (tRNA) molecules are approximately 80 nucleotides in length. Their secondary structure includes four short double-helical elements and three loops (D, anti-codon, and T loops). Further hydrogen bonds mediate the characteristic L-shaped molecular structure. tRNAs have two regions of fundamental functional importance: the anti-codon, which is responsible for specific mRNA codon recognition, and the 3' end, to which the tRNAs corresponding amino acid is attached (by aminoacyl-tRNA synthetases). tRNAs cope with the degeneracy of the genetic code in two manners: having more than one tRNA (with a specific anti-codon) for a particular amino acid; and 'wobble' base-pairing, i.e. permitting non-standard base-pairing at the 3rd anti-codon position.
Source: Rfam by way of RNAcentral
GAUGAGGUGGCCAAAUGGUGAAGGCGAUGGACUGCUGAUUCAUUGUGGUCUGCAUGUGUGGGUUUGAAUCCCACCCUUGCUG